GUCGGGAAUUUUGGGCAAUGGGCGAAAGCCUGACCCAGCAACGCCGCGUGAAGGAUGAAGUCCCUCGGGAUGUAAACUUCGAAAGAAUAGGAAGAAUCAAUGACGGUACUAUUUUUAAGCCCCGGCUAACUCCGUGCCAGCAGCCGCGGUAAUACGGAGGGGGCAAGCGUUGUUCGGAUUUACUGGGCGUAAAGCGUAUGUAGGCGGUUUGGUAAGUUACUUGUGAAAUCUCCGAGCUUAACUCGGAACUGCCAAGUAAUACUGCGAAACUAGAGUGCAGAAGGGGCAAUUGGAAUUCUUGGUGUAGCGGUGAAAUGCGUAGAUAUCAAGAGGAACACCAGAGGCGAAGGCGAAUUGCUGGGCUGACACUGACGCUGAGAUACGAAAGCUAGGGGAGCAAACAGGAUUAGAUACCCUGGUAGUCCUAGCCUUAAACGAUGGAUGCUUGGUGUCUGGAGUUACAGUCUCCGGGUGCCGUCGCUAACGCUUUUAGCAUCCCGCCUGGGGAGUACGCACGCAAGUG
This 523-nucleotide ribosomal RNA is filed under the name uncultured bacterium. Its description in RNAcentral is "bacterial SSU rRNA". It matches the Rfam family "Bacterial small subunit ribosomal RNA", at positions 354 to 894 of the family's 1533-position model. The record is from RNAcentral.